This 257-nucleotide long non-coding RNA is filed under the name Mytilus galloprovincialis (Mediterranean mussel). The record is from RNAcentral. Lineage: Eukaryota; Metazoa; Mollusca; Bivalvia; Mytilida; Mytilidae.
AUUUGCCCUUCUCGUGAUAUUUAACAGAAAUUAGUGUGUAUGACGUAAUUACGUAAGUAAACAAUCACCGAAUUCGGCCCCAAAGUAUCAUGGCGAAUCUUUAUGUUUUUUUUUAGUAAAAUAUACUUACUGUUUUGUCCAAUUUUUAUAUUUCAUGAACAGCUUUUAUUUUUUACAAAAAUAAUAUGUGAUGCCAGCGCUAGCUGUUGAGCUUGAUGAAAACAAAAUUCCACAGGCAGACAAUCAAUUGAGAUGUA